This 254-nucleotide ribosomal RNA is filed under the name uncultured bacterium. RNAcentral's name for it is "partial 16S ribosomal RNA". It matches the Rfam family "Bacterial small subunit ribosomal RNA", at positions 524 to 776 of the family's 1533-position model. The record is from RNAcentral.
GACGUAGGAGGCGAGCGUUGUCCGGAAUCAUUGGGCGUAAAGAGCUCGUAGGCGGCUCGGUAAGUCGGGUGUGAAACCCCCAGGCUCAACCUGGGGACGCCACCCGAUACUGCUGUGGCUAGAGUCCAGUAGGGGAGUGUGGAAUUCCCGGUGUAGCGGUGAAAUGCGCAGAUAUCGGGAGGAACACCAGCGGCGAAGGCGGCACUCUGGGCUGGAACUGACGCUGAGGAGCGAAAGCGUGGGUAGCAAACAGG